AUGAAAUGGAACGCGAUGGUUGUGGUACUUGGCGUCCAGGGGCUUCAUGGGUUAUUCAUGUACUUGGUGUUUGGUGCGGUACUUGUCGAGCAAGAUUCGAAGUCAUGGUUCGAUGGUCUUAGCCGCAAAGGUGGUUGCAGCCACGGAAGGCUGUCGGAGAGGAAGCAGGGGCACAAGGAGGGCCAUGGCUGGCACGGGUCUGCUGGACAUGCAACUUUGGCUGAGGACGAUGGCAGAGGAAAGCUUGGGGUCUGCCCUGGCGUCAACUUGGCCAGGGAUAUGGCGGAGGUUGGCGCCUGUGGUCGUCGAACAUCGCGGACGAUGCCAGAACGAGGCAUGAGGAGGAGCAACGGGGAUGCAGGCGAGGCUUGA
RNAcentral lists this ribosomal RNA (372 nucleotides) under Triticum aestivum (bread wheat). RNAcentral's name for it is "partial small subunit ribosomal RNA". The record is from RNAcentral. Lineage: Eukaryota; Viridiplantae; Streptophyta; Magnoliopsida; Poales; Poaceae.